CAACACACCUCAGGCUGCUUCCAAGCGAGGGCCCAAACCCACGAGGAGAGGGCACUCGUCCAACCUGGGGUCUUUUCCUGCAGAAGCAGAGCCACCAAGGGCAGUUUAAUCGCCCAGUGUCGGGCUACAAGUUGCACCACCUACACUGCGGUUUCAUAGCGAGCCCACACGCCCUUCCCCUCGUCCUCGCCGUCCUCGACCUCGCAUCUUUUCCUCGACCUCGCAUCUUUUCCUCGACCUGCCACUCUCGCCGGCUGGAUGCGAUGGAAACUCGUAGACGGCGUGCAGGAGCUGGAAUGCAGAACGAGUCUAUCGGAGAUGAA
RNAcentral lists this unclassified non-coding RNA (323 nucleotides) under Rhodotorula toruloides. Lineage: Eukaryota; Fungi; Basidiomycota; Microbotryomycetes; Sporidiobolales; Sporidiobolaceae. The record is from RNAcentral.